This 483-nucleotide ribosomal RNA is filed under the name uncultured bacterium. RNAcentral describes it as "partial 16S ribosomal RNA". It matches the Rfam family "Bacterial small subunit ribosomal RNA", at positions 28 to 507 of the family's 1533-position model. The record is from RNAcentral.
GACGAACGCUGGCGGCGUGCUUAACACAUGCAAGUCGAACGCUGAAGCUCAGCUUUUGUUGGGUGGAUGAGUGGCGAACGGGUGAGUAACACGUGAGUAACCUGCCCCCUUCUUUGGGAUAACGCCCGGAAACGGGUGCUAAUACUGGAUAUUCACUGGUCUUCGCAUGGGGGUUGGUGGAAAGGGUUUUUCUGGUGGGGGUUGGGCUCGCGGCCUAUCAGCUUGUUGGUGGGGUGAUGGCCUACCAAGGCUUUGACGGGUAGCCGGCCUGGGAGGGUGACCGGUCACAGUGGGACUGAGAUACGGCCCAGACUACUACGGGAGGCAGCAGUGGGGAAAAUUGCAGAAUGGGCGCAAGCCUGAUGCAGCGACGCCGCGUGAGGGAUGGAGGCCGUCGGGUUGUGAACCUCUUUCGCUCAUGGUCAAGCCGCAACAAUGGUUGUGGUGAGGGUAGUGGGUAAAGAAGCGCCGGCUAACUACGUG